UGGGGGAUAUUGCACAAUGGAGGGAACUCUGAUGCAGCGACGCCGCGUGAGGGAAGACGGUCUUCGGAUUGUAAACCUCUGUCUUCGGGGACGAUAAUGACGGUACCCGAGGAGGAAGCCACGGCUAACUACGUGCCAGCAGCCGCGGUAAUACGUAGGUGGCAAGCGUUGUCCGGAAUUACUGGGUGUAAAGGGAGCGUAGGCGGGGUGCCAAGUUGAAUGUGAAAUCGGCCGGCUUAACUGGUCGCUGCGUUCAAAACUGGCGCUCUUGAGUGGAGCAGAGGCAGGCGGAAUUCCUAGUGUAGCGGUGAAAUGCGUAGAUAUUAGGAGGAACACCAGUGGCGAAGGCGGCCUGCUGGGCUUUAACUGACGCUGAGGCUCGAAAGCGUGGGUAGCAAACA
This 401-nucleotide ribosomal RNA is filed under the name uncultured bacterium. RNAcentral's name for it is "bacterial SSU rRNA". It matches the Rfam family "Bacterial small subunit ribosomal RNA", at positions 355 to 774 of the family's 1533-position model. The record is from RNAcentral.